Molecule: long non-coding RNA, 845 nt
Filed under: Homo sapiens (human)
Lineage: Eukaryota; Metazoa; Chordata; Mammalia; Primates; Hominidae
Description: non-protein coding lnc-ZBTB2-5:1
Source: RNAcentral
AAUAUGUAUUACAUGAGCAUGGCAGCCAAUCAAUAAGUAUUUGAACUAAAUUAAAUUUGUAGCUGGAUUGCUUGGCGCAAAGCAUUAAGGCUUUGGGGCUGAAAGACAAAAUUUAUUCCAGUUGUAACUAGCAACCGAGUGCCCCAGUUUUCACAAAUACUUGAAUGAAGAAACCAGCCUGGUUAACAUAGCGAGACCUUGUCUCUACAAAAAAUAAAAAAAUUAGCCAGGCGCAGUGGUGCACCUGUAGUCCUAGCUACUCAGGAGGCUGGGGACGCUGGGGUAGAAGGAUGUACUCAGAUUUAGUACAAUUUUGUAGAAUUUUUGAGACAAGGUCUCGCUGUGUUGCCCAGGCUAGUGUUGAACUCCUGAGCUCAAGCGAUCCUCCUGCCUUGGCCUCUCAAAGUGCUGGGAUUAUAGGUGUGAACCACCACACUGGGCCUGUUUUCUGAAUUAAUUAUUUUUAUUUAAAGGACUACACGAAGGCCAAUUUCUCUGGAGUUUAUCUCUUAAGAAACAGUAUAUUUGCAAAAUGCUUAGUUUUAGGAAUUUAUACACAUUUCCCCCAUUUUGACUUAAAUUUUGACUAUUUAGGAAACAUUAGAAUUCUUACUCUGUACCAGGCACUGUUCAAUGCACUUUACAUAAUAAUCUUUACAAUAACCCCAUGGGAUAGAUAGUAUUAUUCUCAUUUUACCAUUGGCAGGAGGGGGAGGAGUAGGCCCGGAGAAAUUAAAUUGUGUGCUUCAGGUUUCACAGCCAGGAGUUGGAAGAGCAGGAAGUCCAACUGGCAUCUGCUUUCAGGGUCCACGCUUCACCACCGCAUGGCACUCCCCUUCCCUUUC